GACGAACGCUGGCGGCGUGCUUAACACAUGCAAGUCGAACGGGCCUGUCUUCUUUUUUGGGGGUGGGUUGAGUGGCGAACGGGUGAGUAUCACGUGAGUAACCUGCCCUUCGGUCCUGGAUAACCGCUUGAAAGGGCGGCUAAUACGGGGUGGUCCGGUUGGUCCGCAUGGGCUGGUCGGGAUAGAUUCACUGUUUUUGGUGUUUCGGCGGGGGAUGGGCUCGCGGCCUAUCAGCUUGUUGGUGGGGGGAUGGCCUACCAAGGCGGUGACGGGUAGCCGGGCGGGGGGGGUGGGCGGCCGCACUGGGACGGGGGUACGGCCCAGAGUGCUGCGGGGGGCAGCGGUGGGGGGUAUUGCACAGUGGGCGGAAGCCUGAUGCAGCGACGUCGCGUGAGGGAUGGAGGCCUUCGGGUUGUGAACCUCUGUUUCCGGUGGUGAAGGCCCUGUCCGUGUGGUGGGGUUGACGGUAGCCGGGGAUGAAGCGCCGGCUAACUACGUG
RNAcentral lists this ribosomal RNA (499 nucleotides) under uncultured bacterium. RNAcentral describes it as "partial 16S ribosomal RNA". It matches the Rfam family "Bacterial small subunit ribosomal RNA", at positions 28 to 507 of the family's 1533-position model. The record is from RNAcentral.